GCAGCUCAAGUCUGCACAGUGUCCACCUCCAAGGGAAAACAUGACACCUCCCAAAAAUUAAACUUGUUCCAUAACUUCUGAAAUGAAAUCCAUCUGGGAUGACCCCAAAUGACAUUUUUCAUCUUGCUCAAGCUCUAGCUCAGCCCUUCUCUGAACAGUUGUGUCCCCACACCUGCCUUUUACUUCACAACUGCUCCCUCCUUUCCCCCAGUGAGUUCCCAGCCCAUCACAGUCUCCAUCACACUGCAGCCUUCCUUGAUGCCCCUCACCACGAGGAAGGCCAAGCCCCAGUCUCAGGGACUCAUCCUGUCAGUGGUUGAAGAGCAGCAAUGUCUGUCUGUGCCAGGGGCUCUUGGAUGUCUCUGUAUCCAUGGACAGAAGGGUCUGUCUGUGCCAGGGGCUCUUGGAUGUCUCUGUAUCCAUGGACAGAAGGGUCUGUCCUUGCAAAGGUUUCCAUAAUAUCUUGGUACCCAUGAGUAUGGAAUGAACACAGAGAGUGAAAGUGUCAGUCA
Cyanistes caeruleus (blue tit) is the source of this 512-nucleotide non-coding RNA. NCBI's taxonomy places the organism in Eukaryota, Metazoa, Chordata, Aves, Passeriformes, Paridae. The record is from RefSeq and is a predicted model, not a curated record.